This 1316-nucleotide long non-coding RNA is filed under the name Dromaius novaehollandiae (emu). RNAcentral's name for it is "lncRNA (ENSDNVG00000015025.1)". Lineage: Eukaryota; Metazoa; Chordata; Aves; Casuariiformes; Dromaiidae. The record is from RNAcentral.
CAGGCUCAUUAAUUUUGAUCUAAUUUCUGCUCAGCUGCCCUCAGGAGGGCUGAAACACCGGCCUGGGAAACGUGGCCAUCCCUGGGAAGGUAGAGGAUGGCUCCUUCCUUUCACAGCUUCUCGUGGGAGGCGCUGAUUCAUGCCUGAGGCCGGCCUGAUCUGGGAGCCGAAAAGGAGUUGGAAAGAUCCUCGGUUGGCAUCGAUGCUCCUGUCCUGUGAACGGAGCUGGGGCGCUUCACACCGGCGGAGGAUCUCUCCCCAGGGAUUUUUGCUGCGCGUAACUUGCAUCCCGUGGACCGUUCCGCUGAGAAUGUGAAUUUUUGGAUGCUGCUUUGGGUGACCAGCCUGGUCUCUCUCCAGCGGAUGCAGCUGGUGGAUUUUAAYUCCCCUGAAGUCACCGCUCUGUUGCCAUACGAACGGGGAGCUGAGCUAGGCACCUGAUCCUGCUUGACAAUAUACACACACACACACGUAUAUACAUAUGCCAGUGUCUAACAACAGCAAAUCCAAAGUGUCUAUGCAACCCCAUGAUGUUAUGUUGCAACAGGCAUUGAAUAUGCAUAGAUCACUCAAAGGAUUUUCACUGCCGUUAAUGARGCUGAAUAGAUGAUAUCCCCUGAGGUGCUGGCUUUUCAGAUUUGACUGGUAUUUUUCUCCAGAUCCAACCCCUUAGCACCUUCUGAAUGAAAGAGAUGAGUUUGUUCAUGAAACGGGCUGCAGGAUUUUCAUUCCGUGAAAACUAAUUGGCAUCCUAGAAUGAAGAUCAUCCUACCAGCACAUCUAAUUAGAGGAGAAGAAACCCCAUAUUCCCGGAGCAGUCUCAUCUCAGUUCAGAAGGAACUCAGAAACAGGCAUGAAAACUCACUCAUCAUCCUUUGAAAUUCUAGCUUCCAGCAUGAGCCAAAUGUGUAUUUUCUAAAGCGUUUGUAUUUGAGAGAAUCCAGCAGGAUAAAUACUGUUUAUUCAUAACGUGAUAGAUUGUCACAACAUUGUGAGGCGUGUGUAUCACUGCAGUGCGAGUUCUGACACAUCUGAAGAAGUGAGGUUGAGGUGUGCCAUUCACAACCCAUCAAGUGAAACAUGCCACAGCCUGCCAUAAUCCUGACUACUUAAUGCACUUGGAUCUCUUCCCUGAUUUGAGGGGAAACUCAUGCCAACUGAUACCUGAGAGUAAAAGCCUGUGUGAAGUGACACUGUUUUGAAAAUAUAGGCUGGCCUAAAUCAUUGCAGGCAAGAUGCUUAGCUUUUCUCUCGGUCCCGUUUUCCAGCACUGAUGCAGGAGUCCUUUGGACUGUGCUUUUAAAACCUGCCUCAGG